AAUGCCUGAUAUGAUCGCUGUGAUUAUAGAGAAGAACAAAUUCUGAUUCCCAUUUUCUAGAUAAGAGUGAUGCCGUCUUCUUUCCUUGUGAGUUUUUGAAAACAUGAAAAUAAAAGGUAAUUGCAGUGGUAGCCAAAUGGUUUGAUCUUCCAUGUAUAUUUGGAGAUUGUAUACCCGAAAAAUUGGAUAGAGUUAAAUUUGUAUAUGAUUCUAAGGAUACGUGAUAUAACUUGGUACAAAUCGCAGAGUGAAAUAGAAAUAUAUAUAUUUUUUGACAGAUGGAAUGAAACAUAAGGCAGAGAAAAAGGAAAUGUUGAUGAACAAGGCAAAGUAAAUGAGCCCAAAAGUGUUGAUCUCUCAGAAGUUGUCUUUUUUUUUACCAUGUAUCUCUAUGCUUACAAGAAUUCCCCCAUUUAUAGUAGAGGGAUCCUACUUUAUCUAUAUAAAAAAUAUAUAGUGGAGAACCCAUGAUAAAUUAUUUUUUUCUCGAUUCCUGCCAAAAUUCUCUCCCCUAGUGCGGUUGCAACGGCUCUUGUCUGUGAGCUCAAUACCGGCUCGAGCUCGGUAUUGGAUCGAGCCCUCGGCCUUGGUUCGAUCUCGACUCUGACUCGGAGUCUCGAUAUUCGGGGUGAGUUUUGGUCGGUCUAUGCAUCUUCGAUAAUCUCCGCUUUGCCUCGUAGUUCGAUUUGGAUAUGAGCUCGAUAAUGAUACCGAGCUUGUCGUUGAUUGGUCUUGGAGCUCGAAGCUCGACGCCCUUACUCCGGACCUCGACCCGUCGUCAUGCAGAUACCCUUUGAUCGAAGUAUUAUCACCUCGACCAGUCCGUACGACUGACUUAAUCGGUUUUGACCGUACACAGAGAUCAUAUUGGUAAUCUGGAUUUGGUGCAAAAUAAGAAAGGGGUAUAUAUCUCCAAUUUGUAGUAGGGGAUCUUGGUUUCGUAGAAAUAAAAAAGAAAAAGAAGGGUACAAGAAACACCAUAGAAUACCAUGCAUGUUUUAGUAACUCAAAGUUGCAUUUAAGGUAUAUCCCUAUAUAAUCCUUUGUUAAAAAGUUCAGUCUAUAUUUAGAAAUAUUUUAGCAAAUGUUUUAAAAAAUAUAUAUAAACUACUCACUGCUGAAAUUAGAAUUUCUCAAUAAGGCCUAAUUUACUAUAUGCACCACAAUGUAGACAUUGAUAGCCCCACCUGAUCCUUUGAGUGCUUAUAGUCAUACCCAACUCAAACACAUGAGAUGCAUAAUUUAACAGAAAUAACCCUAAGAAAAUAUAUGCAAAGUAAAUUUAAGAAACAGAAGUAUCUUGAGUUCUUCUUCCACUCACAUGUUGCCUUUGAUGACAAAGGAGUCGUAGAGAAUACAUCUCAUUGCUUCUGAAAGUAUCAAAUCCAUAUGGUGGUGAGAUAAUUUGUUUGAGAUAUUCUCUCUAUACAAGAAGGCUUUACCUCUAAAAUCUGGGAAACUAAAAAGCAAAAGUCUCGUCGUUUCAUUGUGACUUAUAAAUCUUCAAAUUUAAUAUGAAUUGAACAAAAAAAAAUUGAUUAGGGGAAGAAUGAGAAAAAAGGAACAAACAGAAUACCCGAACACACUUAAUUGUCCCCUUAAAAUUCUUCUAGUCUCAGUUUUCGGCUGAUUUAUGGAUGGAAAAUAAUUAAUGAAUAGACAGUUAAAAUUAAGCACUACCAAAAUAUGAUGAAAUGUUCAUAACAAGGUGCUUCUUCGCUAGAGAAUUCUUACCAGCAAUUCACUUCUCCUCGACAGUCUUCACUGUAUUGCUAACUGAAUGGCAUGUAUUGGCAUUGCAAGGUUUAGUACUAUAAGAAGUUUAGUGAAGGCCAACAUAUUAAUCACAAUUUUGCUUCUUCAACGCUUUCGAACCUUUCUUCUCGGACUUGUUCGAUGCAUUGGGGGUUUUCAAUUAUGCUGAGAGAGAUUCAAGAUAAUUCUAAGCGGGAAAACAAAGAAAUCGUUAACUCGUUAACUCUGCCUGGAGGGCUUUCUAUUGUAUACAGGGAAACUAAACAACAACAACAACAACAACCCAGUAACCCAGUACAAUCCCACUAGUGAGGUCUGGGGAGGAUAGUGUGUACGCAGACCUUACCUCUACCAUAAGGUAGAGAGGCUGUUUCCAAAUGACUUUCGGCAUCCUUUCCUCCAAGAACUCCCCACCUUGCUCUUGAGGUGACUCAAACUCACAACCUUUUGGUUGAAAGUGAAAGUUGCGUACCAUCAGAGCAACCCCUCUUGCCAUACAGGAAACUAAAAAAACCAAUAAAACAAAAAAGAGAAGAUUGUUCAAGA
Molecule: long non-coding RNA, 2301 nt
Filed under: Nicotiana tabacum (common tobacco)
Lineage: Eukaryota; Viridiplantae; Streptophyta; Magnoliopsida; Solanales; Solanaceae
Description: long non-coding RNA (NTAB_LNC006839)
Source: RNAcentral